UGAUCUUUGAUUUAGGGUUCGUAUUGUUGGUGGAACUGAUUUGUUUUCUCUGUUUGGAUUUUCGUUUCUAUUCGUUAAGACUCUUACCGGAAAGACGAUCACCCUCGAGGUGGAAAGCUCCGACACGAUCGACAACGUUACAGCCAAGAUCCAGGAUAAGGAAGGUAUCCCUCCCGAUCAGCAGAGGUUGAUCUUCGCCGGUAAGCAGCUCGAAGAUGGCAUGACUCUUGCUGAUUACAACAUCCACAAAGCCUCUUGCUGAUCACAAAGCCUUCCAUGGCUACAAAGCUCGAAGAUGGCAGGACUCUUGCUGAUCACAAAGCCUUCCAUGGCUACAUGUCUACGGUUGUUGACGAUGAUCAGAUCCACGAGAGUUUGGGGAUCGAUUAAGCAACAGAUCUCCAAGCUUGCAAAGAUUUCUCUAAACUACUCUGGCCACAAGGAAACAAUCCAUUCUGCCAGACCACACACAGGUACGCAACGGCACUAGCGGAGUUAAACCAGACAAUGAUGAGGAUGUUGUAUGAGAGCUAUGGAAUACUAAGAGAAGAAACACUCAGCGAGACAUUCGGAGUCAACUAGAACAAAUUUCUACUGUACGCCAUUCUGACCAAGAAGCUAGACAUUAUGGAAGAAGGCUCGGGUCUGAUCCUCACGGUCUAUCACUGCACAUCACAUCUUCUAAUGCUAGCCAACAUACCUCAUCGCUAUUAGGAGCUAAUUUAUCUGGAGAGUUCUUCAAAUCCUGGUUUUGGCGUCAGGUUACCUCCCGGCAGGGAUUAUGGUACGUGGAAAGGCAUCCUUACUGCAGCAUCUCUGGACAUGCGUGCCAGAGAUAAGGAGCAAUAACGAGAGAGGGACGCGAACAUGAUAGAGAACGAGAACGAGAGCGGGAGAAGGAACGAGAAAAGCAAAGAGCUAGGUUUAACGAGAACAUGAAUUCAUUCUUUAACUCUUUCCUGCGUGCAACCCUGUCAUGCGGUGAUAUCCAUGGACAAUCCAUGAUCUUGCAGAAUUUUCCUGUAUUGGGAGAAUGUCCCCUGAUACCAGUUACCUGUUUAUGGGAGAUUAUGUUGAUCGUGGUUAUUAUUCUGUUAAACUGUUACGCUGUGAUACCAGAUUGUAAUGCCCGUUGAUCCUAAAAAAAGUUCUCCAAUCGACGUUAUUUCUAAACAUCGGUUAAAGACACCACAGUGAUGAUCUCCUUUCCCAGCCGAUCAUAUUAAGAGAUCGUUGACAGCCUUUUCCGCCUUUGGAUUGCCGAUGCUACACUGUCGUUUCCAUAGUACGUUAAAUCUGAGCAAGAUCCACACUUACAGGUUCUUAAAGAUGGACAGUGGCAAGAGCAAGAUGCGUUUAUCUUGGUACCUGGUGAUAUAAUCAGCAUAAAGCUUGGAGAUAUCAUUCCUGCAGAUACUCACCUUCUUGAAGGGGAUCAUUACCGAUGACCAGGACGAUGGAGUGAGCAAGUCUUCUCUGGUUCUACGUGUAAGCAAGGUGAAAUAUAAGCUAAUGUGGUAGCCACCGGUUCGAACACUUUCGUUGGUAAAACAGCAUGCUUGGUAGAUAGCACAUGUAACUGGACAUCUUCAACAGGUUCUCUUGGUUUCUUUUUGUUUUUUAAAUUUACUAUCCUCUGUUUUCCUCAUUUUCAAAUUUUGGUUUAAAAAAAAAAGUUAUUUCCUGCAACGAUCUCGCAGUGGGAAAUCAGUUACAUUUCUUUCUAAUUAUUUAUGAAACGUUGACGGGAUUUUCGUGAUU
Long non-coding RNA from Raphanus sativus (radish), 1761 nucleotides. RefSeq lists it as uncharacterized. The record is from RefSeq and is a predicted model, not a curated record. Lineage: Eukaryota; Viridiplantae; Streptophyta; Magnoliopsida; Brassicales; Brassicaceae. The transcript has 5 exons.